GACGUAGGGCGCGAGCGUUGUCCGGAUUUAUUGGGCGUAAAGAGCUCGUAGGCGGUUUGUCGCGUCUGCCGUGAAAGUCCGGGGCUCAACUCCGGAUCUGCGGUGGGUACGGGCAGACUAGAGUGAUGUAGGGGAGACUGGAAUUCCUGGUGUAGCGGUGAAAUGCGCAGAUAUCAGGAGGAACACCGAUGGCGAAGGCAGCCUUCUGGGCCAACACUGACGCUCAUGCACGAAAGCGUGGGGAGCAAACAGG
RNAcentral lists this ribosomal RNA (253 nucleotides) under uncultured bacterium. Its description in RNAcentral is "partial 16S ribosomal RNA". It matches the Rfam family "Bacterial small subunit ribosomal RNA", at positions 524 to 776 of the family's 1533-position model. The record is from RNAcentral.